This 1869-nucleotide long non-coding RNA is filed under the name Triticum aestivum (bread wheat). RNAcentral describes it as "long non-coding RNA (TAES_LNC024427)". The record is from RNAcentral. Lineage: Eukaryota; Viridiplantae; Streptophyta; Magnoliopsida; Poales; Poaceae.
UCAACCAUUGUACUGAAUUCAACAGCGCACAAGUAAAGCCAAAAUAUGACAAACUUCUUGCCACAGUUUUUUGCCCAAACUGUGAUUGAGGAAGUGCAUCAGCAAAUCCUAAUAUACCCAAACUUCUCAAGGAAUUCCCCCCAAAAUGAGAUUUCAGUAAAGUACCACCAUUAGUUUCCUAAUCCUCCAAAAUAACUCUGAUCUGACAAUUUGGAGUAACCUGCAAACCAAAAUAUAAACAUGAGUCUCAGUCGAGUCUUUGUCAUGAUUCUGAAUUUUUUUACAUUCUAGAGACAUCAAAAUACUGGCAUGGAGAGAACACCUGACAUAAACAAAAGAUUUUUGUUCCUUUAAUUUCUUCUUGGGCUCAAUAUAAACACACGUAAACAUAAACAUGAGUCAGAAGUACACAACAGCACAAACAGAUUCCAGUUAAUACUGCUGUUGAGCAAUUACAAAAAAUGAGAUGCUAUCUGCAGACUGCAAGCUAGUUUGCCAGCUUUGUAGUUCUUAGGUUGUUUGUAGUUUAUCUCUGCAUCAAGACUUAUUAACACAAUUUUCACACUAGGUAGAUCACCGACUGUUUCUCCUACAAAAUCAUCACCAUCAAUAUAAUAGCAUCAACUUUGGAUCCAUUAUUUCUAAUGAAUAUUUCAGUUAUUCAAUCUAAAAUACACGCAUUCUACAAUAGUUCUAACAUGAAUUCUGGUUUACAUUGGAUAUGACCGAUUUUUCGACGAAAAUGGUAUGCUCUACAACACAUACCUGAUAACCUAUUUCAAAUUAACAUAUAUGCCAGUGAGAGGUCCGUUUUUUAGUUAUGCAGAAACAUCUAGCAACAUAAAGAGAAUUCAUAGAUUUAUCAUCAUCAGCAUGCAAAUAUGCAAUCAAGUAUAUCUCAGAUUUGAUGAAUACAAAGCGAAACAUGUCAGAACUAAACACUUCAGGGCAUUAACAUUUUACAAAGAACAAAAGCAUGAUCCCUUGCAACUCGCAAGUAUCGUUGGAUUUCUGAUAGGUGUGCACCUACACUUGUCCGAAAUAUUUAAGAACAUCCGUCCUUUUCAAAGAGAAUUGCAUCAGCCCAAAAAAUAAGCCCAACUUGACAUACUUGGGGAACACUUCUGUUGAAGGACUACUAGAUAGCAUUGCAAAUUUGGUCAUAGGUCAAUAUACACUUAUACAGUAUGGUAAUUUGGUAAGAAAUAGCAAGCACCAUGCUUCAGUUCAGUCAUGAUUUGUUGAUAACAUUUCAGGACAUCGACUAGUGAAAGACAUAUUUAUCAUGGUGAAAAGGCAGCCAUAUUUUAGCCUUGUCCUAAUUUUAUGUCUGGGAUAAGUCAGACCGGAUAAUGAAGUAGUUCAGACAAGGUAAUACUACUCUGUGUAGCAGUCCAGCACUAUAGACAGUACCAGCGAUUAUAAGAGUCAAGAAGAAGUAGAAGCCAAAACAGUCGCCGUGCUACCGGUUCAUUGACUAGCUAGUCCCAACAUAUUCAAGCAUCAAAUUUUUGUUCAUCUAAAAGUGCAGCAUGAUUGUAGGAAAGGAAGUGCCCUGUCCUGUAAUUAGCCAAAGUUUGUGCAUACAAUCCUGACAAGUUGGAUCUAAGGAUAACAAUGGUGGAGUAUAAUUAUUAAACAUAGUGAUUUCGAAACAUUACCAAAACUUUGUUGCUUGUGCAAGUAACACAUUUUAUGGGCAGUGUAGGAGAAAUGCAGAAUCAUGCGACAAGAAGGAACAAGAUAUGACAAGAUAUCAAACGAAUCAAGAAGGGUACCCAAACAAGAAAGAGUUACUUAAGAGAGUGUACCGGAGAUAAGUUAGCUGUCUACGCGAACCAGCAUGUCUGCCAAAGUCUUCUUUUUGCA